RNAcentral lists this transfer RNA (75 nucleotides) under Cordylochernes scorpioides. Its description in RNAcentral is "tRNA-Thr". It matches the Rfam family "tRNA". From Rfam's summary of the family: Transfer RNA (tRNA) molecules are approximately 80 nucleotides in length. Lineage: Eukaryota; Metazoa; Arthropoda; Arachnida; Pseudoscorpiones; Chernetidae. The record is from RNAcentral.
GUCCAGGGUAGCCUAGUGGACAUGGCAUCUGCUCGGUUAGCGGAACACUGUAGGUUCAAUUCCCAUACCUGGACA